RNAcentral lists this ribosomal RNA (266 nucleotides) under uncultured bacterium. Its description in RNAcentral is "partial 16S ribosomal RNA". It matches the Rfam family "Bacterial small subunit ribosomal RNA", at positions 793 to 1055 of the family's 1533-position model. The record is from RNAcentral.
GUCCUGGCCGUAAACGGUGCACGUUUGCUGUAAGAGGAAUCGACCCCUCUUGUGGCGAAGCUAACGCGUUAAACGUGCCGCCUGGGAAGUACGGUCGCAAGAUUAAAACUCAAAGAAAUUGACGGGGCCUGCACAAGCGGUGGAGUAUGUGGCUUAAUUCGAUGCAACGCGAAGAACCUUACCUGGCCUUGACAUGCACAUAGUAGAAGCCUGAAAGGGUGACGAGGUAGCAAUACCAGUGUGCACAGGUGCUGCAUGGCUGUCGU